AUGCAUUCUCUAGGGUCAGGCUGUAGCGCCAGAGCAAUUGCUUGCGCAUAACUGGGGCCUACAGCUCUCUGCCGGCGACUCUUUUAACCGCAAGCCCACAGGG
RNAcentral lists this small nucleolar RNA (103 nucleotides) under Myotis davidii. Lineage: Eukaryota; Metazoa; Chordata; Mammalia; Chiroptera; Vespertilionidae. The record is from RNAcentral.